AACGAACGCUGGCGGCGUGUUUAAGACAUGCAAGUCGCACGGGAUAAGACAUGUAGUAAUACUUGUUUUAUUUAGUGGCGCACGGGUGAGUAACACGUGAAUUACAUGCCCUAUAGUGGGGAAUAGCCCAGGGAAACUUGGAUUAAUACCCCAUGGUAUCGAAAGAUUAAAGGUGGCCGCAAGGCUGUCGCUAUAGGAUUGGUUCGCGCCCUAUCAGCUUGUUGGUGAGGUAACGGCUCACCAAGGCAAUGACGGGUACCUGGUCUGAGAGGACGAGCAGGCACACUGGAACUGAGACACGGUCCAGACACCUACGGGUGGCAGCAGUCGAGAAUAAUUCACAAUGGGGGCAACCCUGAUGGUGCAACGCCGCGUGGAGGAUGACGGUCUUCGGAUUGUAAACUCCUGUCAUCUGGGAGAAAGACCUGACGGUAAAUGGCCGGCAGGGUUGAUAGUACCAGAAGAGGAAGGGACGGCUAACUUCGUGCCAGCCGCCGCGGUAA
RNAcentral lists this ribosomal RNA (503 nucleotides) under uncultured bacterium. RNAcentral describes it as "partial 16S ribosomal RNA". It matches the Rfam family "Bacterial small subunit ribosomal RNA", at positions 29 to 523 of the family's 1533-position model. The record is from RNAcentral.